CACACAUGCAAGUCGAACGGCAGCAUGAUAAGGACUUCGGCUUUUAUUGAUGGCGAGUGGCGGACGGGUGAGUAAUAGGUAGGAAUCUGUCCUGGAGAGUGGGAUAACACGCGGAAACGCGUGCUAAUACCGCAUAAUAUUGAGAGAUCAAAGCAGGGGACCGAAAGGCCUUGCGUUCUGGGUUGAGCCUACGUCGGAUUAACUAGUUGGUGGGGUAAAGGCCUACCAAGGCGACGAUCCGUAGCUGGUCUGAAAGGAUGGCCAGCCACACUGGGACUGAGACACGGCCCAAACUCCUACGGGAGGCAGCANUGGGGAAUAUUGGACAAUGGGGGGAACCCUGAUCCAGCAAUACCGCGUGUGUGAAGAAGGCCUUCGGGUUGUAAAGCACUUUANGUGGGGAAAAAAGAUGCCAGAGGAAUAUGCUCGUAUUAUGACGGUACCCACAGAAUAAGCACCGGCUAACUCUGUGCCAGCAGCCGCGGUAAUACAGAGGGUGCAAGCGUUAAUCAAAAUGACUGGGCGUAAA
Molecule: ribosomal RNA, 529 nt
Filed under: uncultured bacterium
Lineage: Bacteria
Description: bacterial SSU rRNA
Rfam family: Bacterial small subunit ribosomal RNA
Source: RNAcentral